This 1462-nucleotide ribosomal RNA is filed under the name uncultured Bordetella sp. RNAcentral's name for it is "partial 16S-23S ribosomal RNA intergenic spacer". It matches the Rfam family "Bacterial small subunit ribosomal RNA". Lineage: Bacteria; Pseudomonadati; Pseudomonadota; Betaproteobacteria; Burkholderiales; Alcaligenaceae. The record is from RNAcentral.
AGUUCGAUCCUGGCUCAGAUUGAACGCUGGCGGGAUGCUUACACAUGCAAGUCGAACGGCACGGAAUUUCGGUCUGGUGGCGAGUGGCGAACGGGUGAUAUCGUAUCGGAAUCGUCGUAGCGGGGAUAAUCACGCGAAAGCGUAGCUAAUACCGCAUACACCGUAAAAGCGGGGACCUCGGUCGCGCACCAUUAGAGCGGCCGAUAUCGGAUUAGCGAAGCGGCGGCAACGGCUCACCAAGGCGACGAUCCGUAGCUGGUUUGAGAGGACGACCAGCCACACUGGGACAUUCGAGAUACGGCCCAGACUCCUACGGGAGGCAGCAGUGGAAUUUUGGACAACGGGGAAACCCUGAUCCAGCCAUCAUCCCCGCGUGUGCGAUGAAGGCCUUCGCUGUGCAGCACUUUUGGCAGGAGAAGAAACGGCACGGGAUAAGGCUCCUGUGCAACUGACGGUACCUGCAGAAUAAGCACCGGCUAACACGCCAGCAGCCGCGGUAAUAUUUGUGGGUGCAAGCGUUAAUCGGAAUUACUGGGCGUAAAGCGUGCGCAGGCGGUUCGGAAAGAAAGAUGGAAAUCCCAGAGCUAACUUGGGAAACUGCAUUUUUAACUACCGAGCUGAGUGGUCAGAGGGAGGGGAAUUCCGCGUAGACGCAAAGUGAAAUGCGUAGAUAUGCGGAGGAACACCGAUGGCGAAGGCAGCCUCCGGGAUAAGUUUAUCGACGCUCAUGCACGAAAGCGUGGGAGCAAACAGGAUUAGAUACCCUGGUAGUCCACGCCCUAAACGAUGUCAACUAGCUGUUGGGGCCUUCUGGGCCUUGUAGCGCAGCUAACGCGUGAAGUUGGACCGCCUGGGGAGUACGGUCGCAAGAUUGAAAACCAAAGGAAUUGAUUGGACCCGCACAAGCGGUGGAUGAUGUGAUUGUCUGAUGCAACGCGAAAACUCAUCACCUUUGACAUGUCUGAAUCCCGAAGAGAUUUCGGGAGCGCCUCGCAGAGGAACUGGAACACAGGUGCUGCAUGGCUGUCGUCAGCUCGUGUCGUGAGAUGUUGUUGUCCCAACGAGCGGGCAACCCCAUCAUUAGUUGCUACGAAAGGGCACCUCUAAUGAGACUGCCGGUGGACAAACUGAGGAAGGUGGGAUGUGACGUCAAGUCCUCACAUUCCUUAUGGGUGGGUCAGAAGAGGUCAUACAAUGGUCGGGGACAGUGUGGUCGCCAACCCGCGAGGGGCGCCAUCCCAGAAACCUGAUCAGUCCGGAUCGCAGUCUGCAACCGACUGCGUGAAGUCGGAAUCGCUAGUAAUCGCGGAUCAGCAUACGGCGGUGAAGCCACGUUCCCGGGUCUUGUACACACCGCCCGUCACACCAUGGGAGUGGGCUUACCAGAAGUAGUUAGCCUAACCGGGUGAUAAGCGAUUACCACGGUAGGAUUCAUGACUGGGGGUGAAGUCGCAACAAGGUA